This 1394-nucleotide ribosomal RNA is filed under the name uncultured prokaryote. RNAcentral describes it as "partial 16S ribosomal RNA". It matches the Rfam family "Bacterial small subunit ribosomal RNA". The record is from RNAcentral.
AGGGUUUGAUCCUGGCUCAGAUUGAACGCUGGCGGUAGGCUUAACACAUGCAAGUCGAGCGGAAACGAAGGUAGCUUGCUACCAGGCGUCGAGCGGCGGACGGGUGAGUAACGCGUAGGAACCUACCUAGUAGUUUGGGAUAGCCAUUGGAAACGAUGAUUAAUACCGGAUACGCCCUACGGGGGAAAGAGGGCUUCGGCUCUCGCUAUUAGAUGGGCCUGCGUAAGAUUAGCUAGUUGGUGAGGUAAAGGCUCACCAAGGCUACGAUCUUUAGCUGGUUUGAGAGGAUGAUCAGCCACACUGGGACUGAGACACGGCCCAGACUCCUACGGGAGGCAGCAGUGGGGAAUAUUGCACAAUGGGCGCAAGCCUGAUGCAGCCAUACCGCGUGUGUGAAGAAGGCUCUAGGGUUGUAAAGCACUUUCAGUAGGGAGGAAAGGUUAUAGUUUAAUACGCUAUAGCUGUGACGUUACCUACAGAAGAAGGACCGGCUAACUCCGUGCCAGCAGCCGCGGUAAUACGGAGGGUCCGAGCGUUAAUCGGAAUUACUGGGCGUAAAGCGUACGUAGGUGGUUUGUUAAGUUGGAUGUGAAAGCCCAGGGCUCAACCUUGGAACUGCAUUCAAAACUGAUGAACUAGAGUAUGGUAGAGGUAAGUGGAAUUUCCUGUGUAGCGGUGAAAUGCGUAGAGAUGGGAAGGAACAUCAGUGGCGAAGGCGACUUACUGGACCAAUACUGACACUGAGGUACGAAAGCGUGGGUAGCAAACAGGAUUAGAUACCCUGGUAGUCCACGCCGUAAACGAUGUCAACUAGCCGUUGGGAGACUUGAUCUCUUAGUGGCGCAGCUAACGCAAUAAGUUGACCGCCUGGGGAGUACGGCCGCAAGGUUAAAACUCAAAUGAAUUGACGGGGGCCCGCACAAGCGGUGGAGCAUGUGGUUUAAUUCGAUGCAACGCGAAGAACCUUACCAGGUCUUGACAUCCAGAGAACUUACUAGAGAUAGUUUGGUGCCUUCGGGAACUCUGUGACAGGUGCUGCAUGGCUGUCGUCAGCUCGUGUCGUGAGAUGUUGGGUUAAGUCCCGUAACGAGCGCAACCCUUAUCCUUAUUUGCCAGCACGUAAUGGUGGGAACUCUAAGGAGACUGCCGGUGAUAAACCGGAGGAAGGAGAGGAUGACGUCAAGUCAUCAUGGCCCUUACGGCCUGGGCUACACACGUGCUACAAUGGCAGGUACAGAGGGCAGCAAUACCGCGAGGUGGAGCAAAUCCCAGAAAACUGUUCGUAGUCCGGAUCGGAGUCUGCAACUCGACUCCGUGAAGUCGGAAUCGCUAGUAAUCGUAGAUCAGAAUGCUACGGUGAAUUCGUUCCCGGGCCUUGUACACACCGCCCGUCA